UACGGAGGGUGCAAGCGUUAUCCGGAUUCACUGGGUUUAAAGGGUGCGUAGGUGGGCAGGUAAGUCAGUGGUGAAAUCUCCGGGCUUAACCCGGAAACUGCCAUUGAUACUAUCUGUCUUGAAUACCGUGGAGGUGAGCGGAAUAUGUCAUGUAGCGGUGAAAUGCUUAGAUAUGACAUAGAACACCAAUUGCGAAGGCAGCGCACCACACGAAUAUUGACACUGAGGCACGAAAGCGUGGGGAUCAAACAGG
This 253-nucleotide ribosomal RNA is filed under the name uncultured bacterium. RNAcentral's name for it is "partial 16S ribosomal RNA". It matches the Rfam family "Bacterial small subunit ribosomal RNA", at positions 524 to 776 of the family's 1533-position model. The record is from RNAcentral.